Molecule: long non-coding RNA, 1182 nt
Organism: Dermochelys coriacea (leatherback sea turtle)
Lineage: Eukaryota; Metazoa; Chordata; Testudines; Dermochelyidae
Exons: 3
Source: RefSeq, a predicted model, not a curated record
ACUAUACAAUUUUAAAUGGGGAUGGCUGAAGAGAAGAAAUCAAAUUACAAUAAAAUAAUGUGAAAACUAAUAGUAUGCUCUGAACAAAAGUAGAAAAAUUGUUGCUGGGUGUAUACUUAGGUACUGUCAAACUUUUUCUAACAGAUGGAUUUAGCGAUAUAAUUAGUUUCAAUAAUAACCCAAGUGCUCAAAUUAGCUUAUUCAUACAUGUACGACUGCAGCCACUCAUCCCUGUUCAAAGAUCUAACAAUACAAGUCCCUCAGUGGAUCAGUAAGGUAUUAUAACAAAAUACAGACCAGGAGGAGUAUGAACAAGUAUGCCUAUCAUAAAUGGACAAAAUACACUUAUGAAUUUACUCAUACUUUAAUCAUUUACAUUUAUUAAUUUUGAAACAGGCCUUUCACUCAUUGUCAAAUGACAAGUACUUUAUAGAUUGAAUAUAUAGAGAAUUGAAUUUUGUCCUGUGCUACAGAAACUAUUACCUGGCAAUGUUAUGCAGCAGUGAGGGAAAAACAAUGGUAUGUAAACAUUCUAUACAUGUAAACAUUAUAACCCUAAUUUGAUCACAAAAUGUGUGCCUCCAGUCAGUGACAAAGCAGUCUGUUCAGUAAAUACCCUUCUCAAUUUUGAACAUAAUCCAGCAGCAUAUGUCUAUCUUGUAAAUGUGAUUCCUUUUUAGUAAUAUUUCCUAGACAUAGUAAGUCAGGCCUCUCUCAAGUCAUUCAGUUCCACUGAAAAUAAUAAUACAAAUCCUGCACUAAUUUAAUUAAAUUUGCAUAUUCCUGACCCACUGAGUUUUUGCAUUCCAUGAGAACUUUACCAACACAUUAUCAAACCAUAAAUGUAUCAAAUUAGCAUCACUACUUUAGCAGGGAUGUAGUAUACUUCUCUGCGUACUUAGUAUUGUUUAACAGGAUUUACACUGCAAAUGGUAGACAGACAUAAUUCAAUUGAUAGUCCAUGAAAAGGUAUCUUAUAAAGGCACAGUCAAACAAAGUCUGACUAGCAUAAUCAUUACACAACUAAAAUUCAAAUGACUGCAUACUUAAAGUUAGAGCUUCCUAGUCCCUUCUCCACUCUCUUCCAAAAACUCACUCAUUUACCAAAGAAGAAGAGUACUUUAAAACUUAGCUCAGAUAAAGUAUAUGACAGCAGGAACCCUUAGAUCACUGGAGCAAUGC